RNAcentral lists this ribosomal RNA (434 nucleotides) under uncultured Lactonifactor sp. RNAcentral describes it as "partial 16S ribosomal RNA". It matches the Rfam family "Bacterial small subunit ribosomal RNA", at positions 341 to 792 of the family's 1533-position model. Lineage: Bacteria; Bacillati; Bacillota; Clostridia; Eubacteriales; Clostridiaceae. The record is from RNAcentral.
ACGGGAGGCAGCAGUGGGGAAUAUUGCACAAUGGGCGCAAGCCUGAUGCAGCGAUGCCGCGUGAGGGAAGAAGGUUUUCGGAUUGUAAACCUCUGUCAACAGGGACGAAAAUGACGGUACCUGUGAAGGAAGCUCCGGCUAAAUACGUGCCAGCAGCCGCGGUAAUACGUAUGGUGCAAGCGUUAUCCGGAUUUACUGGGUGUAAAGGGAGCGCAGACGGCAUGGCAAGCCAGAUGUGAAAUGCGGGGGCUCAACUCCUGAACUGCAUUUGGAACUGUCAAGCUAGAGUAUCGGAGAGGUAAGUGGAAUUCCUAGUGUAGCGGUGAAAUGCGUAGAUAUUAGGAGGAACACCAGUGGCGAAGGCGGCUUACUGGACGAUAACUGACGUUGAGGCUCGAAAGCGUGGGGAGCAAACAGGAUUAGAUACCCUGGUA